This 546-nucleotide ribosomal RNA is filed under the name bacterium. Its description in RNAcentral is "partial 23S ribosomal RNA". It matches the Rfam family "Bacterial large subunit ribosomal RNA", at positions 2289 to 2925 of the family's 2925-position model. The record is from RNAcentral.
UCCAAUUUGGAACAGGCGGCGUCAGACAGUAAUGUCUGAUGGAAAAACUGACUAAUAUCGGUGAAGUCCAUAAAUUUUUCAACCUGCGUUUAUGGAUAAUACCGAGGGAAGUCCUGAGUUAAUCGAAGGACCCCGUAGAGACUUGUCUCUGAUCCAGAGACAGAUAUGUGCUACGGCACGUAUAAUAUGUCGGUCUCCUUCAUAUGAAGGAUGGUGAUAUAGUCCAUACCAUUAGUAAUAAUGGAAUAAUAUGCGCGAGACAGGUUGGUCCCUAUCUACCGCAGGCGUCGAGUCUUGAGGGGAGUCGCGGACAGUACGAGAGGACCUCCGUGAACUGACCUCUGGUGUACCAGUUGUCCUGCCAAGGGCAUGGCUGGGUAGCUAUGUCGGGAAUGGAUAAGUGCUGAAAGCAUCUAAGCACGAAGCCAACCCCAAGAUUAAGACUCAUUAUAGAUCUCCCGCAGACCACGGGAUUAAUAGGCUGUAGGCGUAAGGCCCGCAAGGGCCUCAACCGAGCAGUACUAAUCGAUCAAAACUAACAAUUUU